This is a long non-coding RNA of Astatotilapia calliptera (eastern happy), 1134 nucleotides long. Lineage: Eukaryota; Metazoa; Chordata; Actinopteri; Cichliformes; Cichlidae. The record is from Ensembl.
UAUCACUACAAACUGCCUGUUUGACGCUACAAAUGAUCAUAAUGGACUCCCCUGAAUAUCAGUGGACUGUUAUAGUCCCUCAUCUCUUAUCUCUGACGGUUUCUUCAAUUUGCACUUGAUCUAUGAAGGGGCGACUGAGCUAUUUGUUGUGAUGAAUCCAAGCAGAGGCCACUUUAAGGUGUCCAUUACUGCUCUGAAAAGAUGGUCAAAAUGUGAGAGAAGUCUGUCUGUGGCCUUUCAGUGAUACAGAAUACACUCUUGGUGAAGCAUGCAUGAAUAUUUCUGAGCAGCUGUGAAGUUUAAAAAGCGUGCUCACCAAUUCAGGUCUGCAUACGUCUGAAGUUAUCAUUUUAUUUGAGAUAACGUUGGUAUUUACACGGCUCCUUAAGAUGCACGAACCAAUGCAAGUGUUUGAGGUUUAAAAUGAGAACUGGAUAGUGACAUCAUUUGACAUUUGGAGCUGACUGGUUGUCGUCAACAGGAGGAAUCUGAUUCUCCUGUCACACCUGCUUCCCCGGGUUUUUUUUUUUUUUUACUCUGCUCCUUUUUCUCUGAGGAUUUACUCUUUUGUAAUUUCUCUGCUCUUUUUUUUUUAAAGCUUUUAAGCUGAGAAAAGAAACGAUUCCUAGCAAAUGCCUGAAUACCCGUCACUGUUUGUGGCGUAAUCACGAUAAAGAUAAAUGAGUGAAAAGCCAGAUGAGUUGCCCUUUAACCUUAGUCCCCCCCUUGUAUAAUCCACACACCCCCCCCCCCCCCCCCCCCACACACACACACACACACACACACACGCCCGUGGAUCAAUAAUACCAUUUGCAAUAAUCCUGUUUGCUAUAACCCUUCCUGGCGUGUUGGAUAGAUGGUUUACUAUUUUAGGAUCCUCAGAAGAAGCACGCAGCAGCCAUUACUGCUGAAUAGUCUGCCCAUUGUGGCCAUUGUGCAGCCCAAAAUUGGUCUCAUUAUGGUUCACAUCUACUUAUGUGCAGAGUGUUUCACUGCAGAUGGACACUUUCACACAAUCUCGUAUUUACUUCCACCAAAAACAACUGGUCUACCUGAAUGCAUGAGAUUAGUUGCUUUUGAUUCCUGCUUAACGUGUAAUCAGGGCACAUCUUUGGGGACAUUUUCAUGUUGUCA